CUAUUUCUUAGGUAAUACCAUCUCCUAAAAAAUUCUUUUUAAAACUUCCAUGAUUCAGAUGGUGCUCUGUUUUCUCAGGGGAUUCUCAACUUUCUUGAAUUCUGAAUUUUUCUUUCUCAUGUUUUAAAAACAUUCUCAACUGAUUUUUUUUAAAAAUAACAUUCCGUUGUUUGAUGUUCUGUGAUUUUAUUUUUCUCUAGAAUUACUUUAUUUUGGUCUUGUUCUUUACUCGGAUUCUUCUUGUCGUAUUUCUGGUUGUUUUUUGUUUUUUUGUUUUUGAGAUGGAGUCUUGCUCUCUUGUCCAGGCUGGAGUGCAGUGGCGCUAUCUCGGCUCACUGCAACCUCCGCCUCCCAGGUCCAAGCAGCCCUUCUGCCUCAGCCUCCAGAGGAACUGGGACUAUAGGCACGUGCCACCACGCCUGUCUGAUUUUUUGUAUUUUUAGCAGAGACGGGGUUUCACCUUGUUAGCCAGGAUGGUCUUGAUCUCCUGACCUCGUGAUCUGCCUGCCUUGACCUCCCAAAGUGCUGGGAUUACAGGCAUGAGCCACCACGCCCGACUUGAUUGUUACUAUUAUUUUAAUUUUAUUUUUUUGAGAUGGAGUCUCAUUCUGUCUCCUAAGCUGGAGUGCAAUGGUGUGAUCUGAGCUCACUGCAACCUCCACCUCCCGGGUUCAAGCGUUUCUCCUGCCUCAGCCUCCCAAGUAGCUGGGACUAUAAGUGCGUGCCACCAUGCCCGGCUAAUUUUUGUAUUUUUAAUAGAGACGGGGUUUCACCAUGUUGGUCAGGCUGGUCUCGAACUCCUUACCUCAAGUGAUCCACUGGCCUCGGCCUCCCAAAGUGCUGGGAUUACAGACAGGCAUGAGCCACCACACCUGGCCUGUCUAGACGUAUUUUAAUGUGAGAGAAUAGAUAGACUGAUUGGAAAUGUUGUAUAUAGGUAGAGCUUGUUGACUGGUGGUCCUUGCUCAUUCAAUAAAUACUUUAGUAUGUAAUGUGUAUAGGUGUCAGAUAAUUCGCUUUAUGAUAACUGGAUGGGGAAUUUUUGGAAGGGAAGGCAACCAUUCCUAAAAUUCCAGAAUGAAAAGGAUGUUAUACUUAUUUUGACAGGUAGUUUAUUCAUUUUCCUUAAAAAGGAAUCUUUCUUGUUGUCCCAUUUUCAGCUCUUUUUCUCACUUUUGUUUUUCUUCUCCUUCCUGUCUCCCCUUCUCCUUUUUCUUUUUCCCUCCCCCCCCCCUUUUUUUUUUUUUUACUGCUCCUUGCAGAGCAGGGCUACACCCAUAGGCAGUGUGACCAAAGUAACCCCUUCUUCUCAUUUCUGUCCGGAUUUUUUCUCACUUUUCCAGGCAGUUAGACUCUCCUGUUGUUUAUGUAGUUGGGCUAUAAUCCCUUCUUUUGCAUAUUGUAGGCUGUGAACUUUUUCUGCUGUAUUUUAUCUUAUUUUGAGCUUCCCUGAGACUUAGUGAAACAUCUGGUCCAUUUAUAGCCUCUCUCUCAUUUUUCCUACUGUUAGAGAUUUAUUCUCUGUUAAAAUACCUAGCCGAGUGCUCUGGUUGUGUCAGGAGGAUUGCUUGAUCCCAGGAGUUCCGGGCUGCUGUGCACUAUGCCGAUUAAGUGUCUGCAUCAAGUUCAGCAUCAGUAUGGUGACCUCCAGGUUGCCUGACGACUGGUGAACCAGCCUAGGAUGGAAAUGGGCAGGUCAAAACUCCUAUGCUGAUAGUGGUGGGAUUGCACCUGUGAAUAGCCACUGUACUCCAGCCUGGGCAGCAGUGAGACCCUGUCUCUUAAAAAAUAAUAGUAAAUUAAAAUGCUUUUAUCGUCAUUUUAGCAGAUAAGUCCUGUGCUUCAUCUGGCCCUUUGAAUCUAAAAGUAUUUUAGUAUGAUUUUAUUUUGUUUUAUUUUAUUUUAUUUAUUUUGAGACAGAGUCUUACUGUGUCAUUCAGGCUGGAGCGCAUUGGCGCAGUCUCGGCUCACUGCAACUUCCACCUCCCAGGUUCACGCGAUUCUUGUGCCUCAACCUCCAGAAUAGCUGGGAUUACAGGCGUGCACCACCACGAUCAGAUAAUUUUUGUAUUUUUAGUAGAGAUCAGGUUUCACCAUGUUGGCGAGGCUGGUCUUGAACUCCUGAUCUCAAGUGAUCAGUCUGUGUCAGCCUCCCCAAGUGCUGGGAUUACAGACACGAGCCACUCUGCCCAUCUAUGAUUUUAUUUUUAAUUAAAAUUAAUCUGGAUUGUUAAUUAAGAGAUAUCAGUAUACUCUUAGGGAUUGUGGAAGACAGUGAGCUUAUUUAAUAGUCAGCAGGUCUCUUGAAAGUAAAUGAUAUCUUAGGGCUGGGCGUGGUGGGUCACGCCUGUAAUCCCAGCACUUUGGGAGGCCACGCGGGUGGAUCACCUGAAGUCAGGAGUUCCAGACCAGCCUGGCCAACAUGGUGAAACCCUGUCUCUACUAAAAAUACAAAAAUUAGCUGGGUGUGGUGGCGUGCGCCUGUAAUCCCAGAUACUUGGAGGCUAAGGAGAAUCGUUUGAACAAGGAGGCGGAAGUUAACAGUGAGCAGAGAUCACUCCACUGCACUCCAGCCUGGGCGACAGAGCGAGACUCCGUCUCAAAAAAAAAAAAAAAAAAAAGUAAAUGAUGUCUUAGAAACAAGCCUUAAAAGAUCUUAAUCUUACUCUUGCUAAAUGUAGUAUAAGUCUAAGCCAGCCUCAGCUCUUGGCCUGAGAUUACUAGUCUCCUUGUUUCUAUUCUACAUGUAUUCUCUACACAGCAGUGAGGGUAAUCAUUGCAAGUAAAAUAUUGUCUUACUUAUUUGCUUAAAUCUCUCCCAUAGUUUCCCUUUACACUUAGAGUAAAAUCCAGACCCUUUCUCCUGAUCUGUAAGAUUGUAUGCAGUCUCUUGCCUCCCUAGUUCUUCACCCAUGUUACCUACUGGUAUCCUACUUGUCUCCUGAUUUAGCUACACCAGCAUCCUUGAUAAAUUAUUCAAAAAGCCAAGCUCAUUCCUCAUGGCCUUUUAGAAUUGGAUUAUAAAGAGGGUGAACUGCUUAUCCCUUCUUAUCAUUCAGUGCUGCUCAAAAGUUAUCUUCUCAGGGAAGAUUUUCCUCACCAUUUUAUCUAAACUAUGGUCUUUCUCUCCCAAAUCACUGCCUAUCCUGUAUGCUGCUUUUAAUUUCUUCUUAGCAUAUAUCUGAAAUUAUAUUAUGUAUUUGCUAAUGGUCUUUUCCCUAUUAGAAUGUAAGCUCUAUGAGGGCAAGGACUCUUGUCUUGUUUACUGCUGUAUUCUUCUAGCAUAAACACACACACCCCCUUAGAACAAUUCUGGAUACACAAUAGAAAUUCAGCAAAUGUUUGGGUGAAUGAAAUGGCCCUAAAAUACUAUUUUAAAACUUGUUUUCUUUCCAGGUUAUAUUUUCUUAUUUAAUGUGUGUAAAAAUGUGGUGGUAUGAAGUUUUUUGGUUUUAAAACCUUCAAUAGUGAGUUUUUGUGGGCACAUUGUAUUCAUAAGAGCUGUUAAUUCUAGCCAUAACUUUAAAUAAAUGUAUUGGUUGCUUGUGUACAUGACUAUCUGUAAGUAAAAUGAAGGUCUCUUAGAAGUUAAUACAGUUUAACCUUAAAAUCUGUUCUAAAAUUAUUUGACAUUUUUCUCACUGAAUAAGAAUGAGAAGGAGGAAGCAUAGUGUAGAAAAGUAGCGUGCAGGGUAGAGUGGUACUGGAUUGUAAUUAUGUAAGUUAAGGAAAUAACAUGCUUUGCCUAUUCCUUGUCACCCUUUUUUUCUGCCUUAUAGACAAGGGAAAAAAAAGAUUGAAUAAAAGAGUUUUAAUUUU
Molecule: long non-coding RNA, 3819 nt
Filed under: Homo sapiens (human)
Lineage: Eukaryota; Metazoa; Chordata; Mammalia; Primates; Hominidae
Description: HSALNT0243543
Rfam family: Metazoan signal recognition particle RNA (bases 1532-1783)
Source: RNAcentral